CAGGACGAACGCUGGCGGCGUGCCUAAUACAUGCAGUCGAACGAACUCUGGUAUUGAUUGGUGCUUGCAUCAUGAUUUACAUUUGAGUGAGUGGCGAACUGGUGAGUAACACGUGGGAAACCUGCCCAGAAGCGGGGGAUAACACCUGGAAACAGAUGCUAAUACCGCAUAACAACUUGGACCGCAUGGUCCGAGCUUGAAAGAUGGCUUCGGCUAUCACUUUUGGAUGGUCCCGCGGCGUAUUAGCUAGAUGGUGGGGUAACGGCUCACCAUGGCAAUGAUACGUAGCCGACCUGAGAGGGUAAUCGGCCACAUUGGGACUGAGACACGGCCCAAACUCCUACGGGAGGCAGCAGUAGGGAAUCUUCCACAAUGGACGAAAGUCUGAUGGAGCAACGCCGCGUGAGUGAAGAAGGGUUUCGGCUCGUAAAACUCUGUUGUUAAAGAAGAACAUAUCUGAGAGUAACUGUUCAGGUAUUGACGGUAUUUAACCAGAAAGCCACGGCUAACUACGUGCCAGCAGCCGCGGUAAUACGUAGGUGGCAAGCGUUGUCCGGAUUUAUUGGGCGUAAAGCGAGCGCAGGCGGUUUUUUAAGUCUGAUGUGAAAGCCUUCGGCUCAACCGAAGAAGUGCAUCGGAAACUGGGAAACUUGAGUGCAGAAGAGGACAGUGGAACUCCAUGUGUAGCGGUGAAAUGCGUAGAUAUAUGGAAGAACACCAGUGGCGAAGGCGGCUGUCUGGUCUGUAACUGACGCUGAGGCUCGAAAGUAUGGGUAGCAA
RNAcentral lists this ribosomal RNA (780 nucleotides) under Lactiplantibacillus plantarum. RNAcentral's name for it is "bacterial SSU rRNA". It matches the Rfam family "Bacterial small subunit ribosomal RNA", at positions 25 to 771 of the family's 1533-position model. The record is from RNAcentral. Lineage: Bacteria; Bacillati; Bacillota; Bacilli; Lactobacillales; Lactobacillaceae.